This 44-nucleotide non-coding RNA is filed under the name Schistosoma mansoni. The record is from RNAcentral. Lineage: Eukaryota; Metazoa; Platyhelminthes; Trematoda; Strigeidida; Schistosomatidae.
AUCCAGCUGACGAGUCUCAAAUAGGACGAGAACGCAUCCUGGAU